CUCUUAUUGGUGGCCACACCCACUUGGGGGUCACCACAACAUGGGAAACUGUAUUAUGGGGUCACAGCAUUAGAAAGGUUGAGAAUCACUGAUAUAGAGCCAAUUGUCCAGUUACAAUGUUUUGCUGCUUGUAAGUUGAUCAGCUGGGGUGUAAUAAAAUUCCUUAUGUUAUUUCAAACUGAGCUGUUCUGGAUAGUGAAACUUGGAACUAUGGGAAGUUGUCUUGGAGAUCAUUUGUAUAUACAAACUUCCUCCAGCUAGGUGUCCUCAGGAUGCAUGUAAUGACCACUUCUCCAAUUGCCAAUCAGCCAGCCAGUCCCAAGUUCAGAAAGAGUGUCCAUGAACAAGAGCCCUUCAGAUACGUAGACCUCACUUGAUCCCACUUGGAAUUGGAAUGAGUCAUAUGUGAAAUUCAAAAUGAGUUUGGAAUCACCUGGUGCAACUGGGCAAGAAAGAAAGACUGCUUUUGUUCCAUUAGCAGAAGGAUGCUCUGCAGAAAUCAGCAGGUGUUUAGAGAAAAUAGAGCAAGUCCCAUACUGAUGUGAAUCUCUUUAAGAGGCCUCUCCGGAUCUUUUUCCAGUGACUUCUUCAAGCUGUAUUAGACAAACCCUCUUCUUCCUUAGCAGAAAUAAACAUAAAUCAUAGUCAUGUUAGAAUGUAUGGAAUUGUACCGUAAGAAAGUAAAAGUGUCCAUGAUACCUUCUAGCCAGACCACACACUAAUCUUGGCCAUAUCUGACCCCAGGAAACUCCAGGUCACAAAACAAAGAACUUCCUGAGCUAUCAGCCAAGUCUGACCCUUUGGAUGAAACUGUUAGGAAGUUGGCAGACACUAGUAACUCAGUCAAAACCUUUAUAAAUCCCCUCCUUUACACAUACAAAGUGGUUGAGGUUGGCCAAAGAUUGCAGCCCAUUCGGGUACAUAACAGAUAUCACGUCUAUUAAUAAAAAGAUCCCUUCCACUGAGUGACUGCCACCCCCAGCCUCAAUGUUAAUUAAGCUGGAAGCCAGUUGAUAUAGUAAAUGAGUGGAAAAACCCCACAAAGUCCCCACCAGAUGCCCUCUUUGGGCCAUCCAGUUAAUUGCAGUUUCCAAUAAUUUCUUCAGGGUGGGCUUUGUUUCUGAAUAGAGAGAGUCUGACCAGGACAGAGGAAAUGUAUAAAGGUAAUCACUUGACAACUGUAAUUUCGUUGCAAACUUGGAUUGCUGUACUUCUCAAAUAAACUUUGCUUCUGUUCCAA
This is a long non-coding RNA of Crotalus tigris (Tiger rattlesnake), 1240 nucleotides long. RefSeq lists it as uncharacterized. The record is from RefSeq and is a predicted model, not a curated record. The transcript has 4 exons. NCBI's taxonomy places the organism in Eukaryota, Metazoa, Chordata, Lepidosauria, Squamata, Viperidae.